Long non-coding RNA from Nymphaea colorata (pocket water lily), 931 nucleotides. RefSeq lists it as uncharacterized. The record is from RefSeq and is a predicted model, not a curated record. The transcript is spliced from 3 exons. NCBI's taxonomy places the organism in Eukaryota, Viridiplantae, Streptophyta, Magnoliopsida, Nymphaeales, Nymphaeaceae.
UGUGUGCAGAGGAGUUUUCUCUCUCUCUCUCUCUCGUUUUUUCCCCUGUGCUCCUCGGUGAUCCUUUCAAUACAAAUCCAAAACGAAAAUCAAAGAUGAUAAGGUCUUGUUGGCAACAGGGAAGAAAUUGUGCUGAAUGAGUUGUCCAUGGAGAAUUUAUCUGGGAGUGCAAACAAGCCCUUAACGAAGUUGUCUAAACACAACUGGGUUACUGAACUGGAUUGGAUCUUGAACUGAAUCCAGUCAUGGGGCUUCGUCCAGUUAAAAAUGAAAUUGGUGGGGAAGACCAGUUUCGGGCCUUUCGGCUUCGCGGAAGCAUUCUCUGUCCGGUGCGUGGAAUAGAGGAUAAGCAAAGAAGGGAACAAGCGCUGGCAUGGUCCGGACGAUAGCCUAUUAGCCUUCCCUUGUUCAACUUCUUUUCUCUCCAUGCAGAUUGUUCGUUAUCCCCUGAUCUCUCUACCGGGAGUUCCCCGAGAUCAGCUGGAGUUUGGUCGGAGAACGGUCUUCUUGGGGCAUCGGACACUGGAAAUCACCGCACCAACUAGGUGUUCCGUCUCUUUGGAACUGGUGUAGUUGGUGCAACCAUCUGUCUGUACAUAGAGCAAUAUGGAAACGAUUCUUCAAAGACAGGAUGAGAUUCUCAAGAAACACUGGCUCAUCUGGUGGAAGUCGCGUUGAAGCUUUCCAAGAUGCAUGAGUUCACCAGCCACUCUACUCCUACAGUUAUGACUUGAGUGACAUAUAGCCACUUAUGCAGGCAUGAAUUUUUGAACAAAGGGCUGAUGAAUCUAUGAUUCAACUUUGCUUGAGAAUAACGUCAAGAACCAUGAAGCUCCCAAUCAUGUGGAGUGUUUGCAUAGUUUUGCUGCUGGGCAAGCAACUCUACAGCUAUGCUAUGUUAAAUAUAUAAAUGAACUUUGCCACUAUGUUA